CUGAGAGGAUGACCAGCCACACUGGAACUGAGACACGGUCCAGACUCCUACGGGAGGCAGCAGUGGGGAAUAUUGCACAAUGGGCGCAAGCCUGAUGCAGCCAUGCCGCGUGUAUGAAGAAGGCCUUCGGGUUGUAAAGUACUUUCAGCGGGGAGGAAGGGAGUAAAGUUAAUACCUUUGCUCAUUGACGUUACCCGCAGAAGAAGCACCGGCUAACUCCGUGCCAGCAGCCGCGGUAAUACGGAGGGUGCAAGCGUUAAUCGGAAUUACUGGGCGUAAAGCGCACGCAGGCGGUUU
RNAcentral lists this ribosomal RNA (297 nucleotides) under Escherichia coli. RNAcentral's name for it is "partial 16S ribosomal RNA". It matches the Rfam family "Bacterial small subunit ribosomal RNA", at positions 292 to 581 of the family's 1533-position model. Lineage: Bacteria; Pseudomonadati; Pseudomonadota; Gammaproteobacteria; Enterobacterales; Enterobacteriaceae. The record is from RNAcentral.